UUCUUUAUUUCUUUUAUCCUACUAAUGUCUUGCAGAAAUGAAACCUAGUAAUUCACUAUAAAGAAGUCACUCUUCCAAGAGGGAAGUCCAUGAAGUUGUUGGAUACCUUGUAAGAACAUAUAAUAUGGAAACAAAAUUAAGGGGAAGACUGUACUUCUCUGGCCAGGAUAAGUUCAUCAGACUGGACAUAAGCAGAAAUCCCUUUCCACAUAUGUUGAAAUGAGGCAUUGCCGGGAGCACACAAGAAGAGUCAGCAUUGGCACAGGCUCUCCCCACAUGCAGUGACCCCAGAGUUGACUGAUGCAUGGAUUACCACUUUGGGGGCCAGAUAGGUGAAGUGGAGUAUCCUUGGGGCCCUCAGAAAAUAAACACCAUUCUCACCUCCUUCUUAACUGGGUCUGCACACAAGCAAUCUGAAGAUUACUCGUGAUGUCUGCUUCAUGUCGAUGUAAAGUACAGGUGCAAUUCUAAUGAAAAAAAAAAAACUAACAUUUUGGACUUCAAUAGCUACUUUAAUUAUUCCAGACAUAGCUGGGUGAGAUGGCCCACACCCAUAAUUUCAGCACUCAGUUGCAGUGGAAGUGGAGCGGGAAGGUUGAG
RNAcentral lists this long non-coding RNA (600 nucleotides) under Chinchilla lanigera (long-tailed chinchilla). RNAcentral describes it as "lncRNA (ENSCLAG00000023838.1)". The record is from RNAcentral. Lineage: Eukaryota; Metazoa; Chordata; Mammalia; Rodentia; Chinchillidae.